GUUUGAUCAUGGCUCAGGACGAACGCUGGCGGCGUGCCUAAAACAUGCAAGUCGAACGAGGCAGCAAUGCCUAGUGGCGAACGGCGGAGUAAGACGUAAGCAACGUGCCCCGAAGUCUGGGAUAUACAGUCGAAAGACUGGGCAAUACCGGAUACGGCCACCGAAGGGCAUCCUUUGGUGAUUAAAUGGUUUUUCGCUCCGGGAGCGGCUUACGGCCUAUCAGCUAGUUGGUGGGGUAAAGGCCUACCAAGGCAACGACGGGUAGGGGGUCUGAGAGGAUGAUCCCCCCGAGUGGGACUGAGACACGGCCCACACACCUACGGGUGGCAGCAGUUGGGAAUCUUGCACAAUGGGGGCAACCCUGAUGCAGCGACGCCGCGUGGAGGACGAAGGAUUUAGGUCUGUAAACUCCUUUUGCCAGGAAAGACUUAGGACGGUACCUGGCGAAUAAGCUCCGGCUAACUACGUGCCAGCAGCCGCGGUAAUACGUAGGGAGCGAGCGUUGUCCGGAUUUACUGGGCGUAGAGGGCGCGUAGGCGGUCUGCUAAGCAUGAAGUGAAAUCUCCAGGGCUCAACCCGGAGACCGCUUUGUGAACUGGCAGACUGGAGGAAGGCAGAGGUGAGUGGAAUUCCCGGUGUAGCGGUGACAUGCAUUGAUAUCGGGAGGAACACCCAUGGCGAAGGCAGCUCACUGGGCCUUUCCUGACGCUGAGGCGCGAAAGCGUGGGUAGCAAACAGAAUUAGAUACUCUGGUAGUCCACGCCCUAAACGAUGGAUGCUAGGCGUGAGGGGUAUCGACCCCCCUUGUGCCGCAGCUAACGCAUUAAGCAUCCCGCCUGGGGAGUACGGCCGCAAGGUUGAAACUCAAAUGAAUUUGACG
RNAcentral lists this ribosomal RNA (880 nucleotides) under uncultured bacterium. RNAcentral describes it as "bacterial SSU rRNA". It matches the Rfam family "Bacterial small subunit ribosomal RNA", at positions 11 to 915 of the family's 1533-position model. The record is from RNAcentral.